Molecule: ribosomal RNA, 309 nt
Filed under: uncultured bacterium
Lineage: Bacteria
Description: partial 16S ribosomal RNA
Rfam family: Bacterial small subunit ribosomal RNA
Source: RNAcentral
AGAGACAGCAGUAGCCGCGGUAAAACAGAGGGUGCGAGCGUUAAUCGGAUUUACUGGGCGUAAAGCGUGCGUAGGCGGCUUCUUAAGUCGGAUGUGAAAUCCCUGAGCUUAACUUAGGAAUUGCAUUCGAUACUGGGAAGCUAGAGUAUGGGAGAGGAUGGUAGAAUUCCAGGUGUAGCGGUGAAAUGCGUAGAGAUCUGGAGGAAUACCGAUGGCGAAGGCAGCCAUCUGGCCUAAUACUGACGCUGAGGUACGAAAGCAUGGGGAGCAAACAGGAUUAGAUACCCGAGUAGUCCCUGUCUCUUAUAC